Hyaena hyaena (striped hyena) is the source of this 129-nucleotide small nucleolar RNA. RefSeq annotates it as small nucleolar RNA SNORA70. NCBI's taxonomy places the organism in Eukaryota, Metazoa, Chordata, Mammalia, Carnivora, Hyaenidae. The record is from RefSeq and is a predicted model, not a curated record. The transcript has a single exon.
UUGUCUACAACCAAACAAGCUCUUUCUCCCCGGGGGCCCUGUGACCAAUGGUUGCAGACAGCAGCCUCUGUGGUGGCGUCUGCAGCCUGUUGACUACCUGGGUUGCUGUAAGGGACCAUGGAGACGGCC